This 1018-nucleotide small RNA is filed under the name Drosophila pseudoobscura pseudoobscura. RNAcentral describes it as "GA32498". Lineage: Eukaryota; Metazoa; Arthropoda; Insecta; Diptera; Drosophilidae. The record is from RNAcentral.
CCACGAUCGAAGAUUUUCAAAUAAUGGUAUACGCUGGUGAGAGUAGAGGAGGAGUUCUUCGCAAUGUUAGCUCCAGUAAUUAAAUGGGAGAAUAUUCCACAUAGUCUGGAAUUCAGUCUGUCUUGCCAGAGUCACGCACAAAAUGAGGCACUCCAGGGCCUGAGUCUCGUGAGUGGCGUGAUCUUAUGCCCAUCUCUAGUGUUAGAAGAGAGACAGAGAUAGCGAGAGACACACAGUCAUAUCAGCAGCGACUGCGCAGCGACAGAGAGCGGCGACGAGAAUGAACGCGGCUUGAAAACCGAAUGUGGAGUGAGAAAGAGUGGAAGAGAACUGUGGAUCAGGAGUGGGGGGUAAAGCAAGAGCAAAGCUUUCAAACGGGGGGCGAUUGAGAAGAUAACGUCUGAGAUAAUAGACACAUUACAUGCAUCCAAUGAUCGGGAGCACUCUCCAAUCGAACCUCGCUAAGCCGCGGUUUUGGUUUUUUUGCGCAUAUGAUCUGCUCUUUGUUGGAUUAUUUUCGUAUUCGGCCCCUGUCGUCGUCCGCCGAUGAUGAGAGAGCGACAGCCUUUGCUUCUCUUGUGAUGUCAUCAUUACUGGGAAUCGGUCGGAGCAAUUAUACAAUCAGGCCCGGCCCGGCCCGGCCCGGCCCCGUCCGGCGCUGCGAGCAUUAUAUCGGCUGUUCGUCUCGGCUGUGCAUAUAUCCCCAUUAAAGUGACAGUGGCGGGGCAUCAAUUCAGUGUUUUCUCAUCUUGUUUUUCUUGCGUGUAGGAUAAAUCUGAAAUAAAAUAAAAUAUCAUCAUGCAUAUAAAUCGCAAAUUGACAAAGUAAACCCCAAUCCAAUCCGAUCCGACCCAACCCAAACCGAGCUGAUUGUUGAUUGCUGUGUGAUUUUUUCCAUGAUUUCAGUGCUAGAGCUGCAGCUGGAGCUGGAGCUGGAGCUGUGGUUUGGUUUGGCGUGGCCUUUGCUCUAUUAAUUUGUGUUAAAAUUGAUUUUAAUAAAUAAACACUUUGAAUCGUU